CUCCGGUGAUCCCGAGACGCAGAACCAGGCCUUGAAACACAACCGUACUCGUAAACCUGGGCGAGAGGAGAUUGAAAUAAGUUUUCCUUUUGGGGCACACAGUCCAGAAAAUGGAAAACAGCCAGCGAGGAGAUUCUGGGACAAUCCUUGAAAGAAAAAUACACCAAACAAAAACAAAAAAAACCUGUAUUCAACGUGCUAUAAAUCUUUGAGCUCCUGUGAUGCUUUCUUAAUAAAUAAAUAAAUGUCA
Poecilia latipinna (sailfin molly) is the source of this 250-nucleotide long non-coding RNA. RefSeq lists it as uncharacterized. NCBI's taxonomy places the organism in Eukaryota, Metazoa, Chordata, Actinopteri, Cyprinodontiformes, Poeciliidae. The transcript has 2 exons. The record is from RefSeq and is a predicted model, not a curated record.